RNA transcript from Sinocyclocheilus rhinocerous, 1474 nucleotides. It is a transcript of the gene named sodium channel, voltage-gated, type II, beta, with no coding region annotated. The record is from RefSeq and is a predicted model, not a curated record. The transcript has 6 exons. Lineage: Eukaryota; Metazoa; Chordata; Actinopteri; Cypriniformes; Cyprinidae.
AACCAUACUAUCAACCAGUUUUCCUACUACAGACACUGCCAGCCAUAUCAUAGCACAAAAUAAAAACAUUUUACGUGUUUUUUUUUUUGUAUAAUUGAAACGAAGACAUAGAUCUCAAAAGCUUUGCUGGUCUUAUUUUCCUCUACGUUUACUGUCAUCGACCAAAAUGCCUAUUUUAUUGCAUUUUGGGAAAACGCAGUGGGCGUCCGCUUUGAAAUUAUCCUGUGUUGCAUUGAUGGUGUUUCUGGCAUGUCCAGUGAAUUCCAUGGAUGUGCUGGUGCCACCACAGAUCCUCGCUCUCAAUGGGACAGAUGUCAGAAUCCCCUGUGCGUUCACUUCAUGCUACAAGCUGGACCCCAGCAAGUUUGCCAUGAACUGGACCUAUCAGGAGACAAGCAACAGCACAGAGGAAAUGUUCAUGACCUAUAAGAACAAGAUAACACCCUUGAAGUCAAGCCGAUUUGGAGAUCGAGUCACAUUUUCUGGAAACCUGGAUAAGAACGACCUGAGCAUCACUAUCUUAGAUGUGCAGUUGACAGACGAGGGCAUCUACAACUGCUAUGUGCGCAACCCUCCAGACCGCAUUCAUGGCCAUGGCGCCAUUCAGGUCCUCGUCCUGACUGAAUUGCCACCACCAAGAGAUUCGACCAUUGCUGUUGCCAUCGGGGCAUCUGUGGGAGGAAUUCUAGCUUUGCUCAUUCUGUCCAUGGUAGUGGUGAAGUGUAUUCGCAGACAUAAGAACCAGGAAUUGAUCUCAGAUGAGCAGAAGAUGGAGGAAGAGGGCAAAGCAGAUGGAGAAGGAGGCACAGAAGAAGCAACAAAACAGCCCUAACCCGCAAUCUUAGCCCUGGAGGCCUAACUGAUGGUGGAGCUUCAUCCUACACAUUCUGAAAUUUAAGCCUGCCUGAAGAUAUGUAAAACUUGUUUGACUCUUCAUCCUAUAACUGUCUUAUUCAACAUUCCUCGGUUUUCUCGUGUAGCAGUCAAACAUGUCAUAAAGGAAGAUCUCCACCACAGUGCCAUGGUGUCCAGUUACCAGUGAGAAAUUACCCCACAAAGGGUUUCAAACUGCUUCUUCCACUCAAUACAACAGGUUAAGUUGAUAACUUCCUUCAGAACUCUUCGUUUAGACCACCUGUUUUUCAAAGUCAAGUAAUGUCUUUUUUUUUUCUUCAACUACUGCCACUAUUAGCACUAUUAAUAUCAGCCAUCCAGUAUUUCUGAUGAAAAUUUUCUAACGAGAUGAAUUUAAAAUUAUACAAGGUCCUCUUACAACUGCCAAAGUGUUUUUACCCUUAUGGUGUUUAUACGUUUUAAGAGUUUCUUGAGAAAUCACUGCCCUCAACAACCUCUCAAGUGGAUGUAGAAACAUAAUGUGUGUAUUUGUGUGUGCCUUCUCAUUGUGCCAGUUUGCUCCUGUUGGGUCUAAAAGUUUAUCCUGUUUUUACAGCAGACUAUUAGGCAGGACCGUGAC